CCGCGCUAGGUGGGGAGCCAGCGGUGCCCUGCACCUGCAAUCCGCUACAGCAGGACCGAAAGGCCGUCCGAGGCCGGGUUUUGGAGAGUACGGAACGGAUAAGGAGUGUUGAUAACAAGGUCCCGUGCAACAUCGCACCGUGAACCAUGUCAGGGCGGGAACGCAGCAGCAUUAAGCGGACCGCGCUGUGUGCCACGGGGCAACCUUGCGGUAGCCACCUGUCCGGAUACCUUCUCGGAGAUUUCUGUCGACGACGGAGGCGC
This 263-nucleotide signal recognition particle RNA is filed under the name Candidatus Heteroclostridium caecigallinarum. RNAcentral describes it as "Bacterial large signal recognition particle RNA". It matches the Rfam family "Bacterial large signal recognition particle RNA". Rfam says of the family: The signal recognition particle (SRP) is a universally conserved ribonucleoprotein involved in the co-translational targeting of proteins to membranes. The record is from RNAcentral. Lineage: Bacteria; Bacillati; Bacillota; Clostridia.